UCAAACUUGGUCAUUUAGAGGAAGUAAAAGUCGUAACAAGGUAACCGUAGGUGAACCUGUGGUUGGAUCAUUACUGAUUAAAUUUGACCAAAGGUUGAGCUCUUUUGUUCCCUUUGUGUCAUCAACACCUGUUGCACAAUUUGUAUUUGGGGUUUUUGAAUUUUUUUUGAAAGCCCCAAAAUUUUAUAUAAACCUUAUAAUUUUUGACUGAAAUCUAUAGUAAAUAGAAACAACUUUUGACAACGGAUCUCUUGGCUCUCGCAUCGAUGAAGAACGCAGC
Molecule: unclassified non-coding RNA, 280 nt
Filed under: uncultured fungus
Lineage: Eukaryota; Fungi
Description: partial contains small subunit ribosomal RNA, internal transcribed spacer 1, and 5.8S ribosomal RNA
Rfam family: Eukaryotic small subunit ribosomal RNA (bases 1-73)
Source: RNAcentral